UGAGUUUUUAUGAAAGGGUGAAAAUAUGAAAAGAAAUAAGAAAAAGAAAUCACCCUUGAAACCAUAGAGCAAAGAAAAAGAAAAGAAAGAAAAAAAAACAAAGAAAAGGCUCAUGGUUGUGUGGUUGUAAAAAGAAAAAGAAAAGAAAAAGACAGGGAUCAAAGAAAUGGAAAUUGUGUAGAGUUGAAUAUAGGGGAAUGCUCCCUUAGG
This 210-nucleotide long non-coding RNA is filed under the name Lathyrus oleraceus (garden pea). RNAcentral's name for it is "Pisum sativum (pea) long non-coding RNA (PSAT_LNC017503)". The record is from RNAcentral. Lineage: Eukaryota; Viridiplantae; Streptophyta; Magnoliopsida; Fabales; Fabaceae.